CCAUCUUGUUCCACUGUCGCACUUAACGUAAAGGGAGAGUGGAUUUACAAGGGUGAGGCCUCACAACAGCUAGCACCUGGUGGUCUCUAUAUCCUGGAAGAAGCCAUUGACAUAAAGACAGAAAGUCUGAUCCCUGCAGAAACCAGACAGAUCCUGGGGGAAUGACUACCUGUAAGGUGAACCAAGUAAUAGCCCCAUUUGCCUGCUGUUUCCUGAAUACAAGGAGUCCAGAGUACCCUCGCAGCAGCUGCGGACUGGUUUGAUAGGACCCUUGCUACAUCCAUUGGAAAGCAUACUCCCUUUGGCAAGUUGGACUCCUAACUCAGCAGAGCCCAGAGUUCCAGGGAUGAGAAGCACAUUAAUCCUCCUCUGGGUCUUUGCCAAUUAUGAGAUGGGAAAGGAGGGAGAGAGGGAGAGAAACAUCAAAUGAGAGAGAAAGA
This is a long non-coding RNA of Pteronotus mesoamericanus, 440 nucleotides long. RefSeq lists it as uncharacterized. The transcript has 3 exons. The record is from RefSeq and is a predicted model, not a curated record. Lineage: Eukaryota; Metazoa; Chordata; Mammalia; Chiroptera; Mormoopidae.